ACCUGGCUGGCUCAGUUGGUAGAGUGUGCAACUAUCGAUCAUGAGGUUGUGGGUUCGAGCCCCACACUGGGUA
This is a non-coding RNA of Prionailurus viverrinus (fishing cat), 73 nucleotides long. Lineage: Eukaryota; Metazoa; Chordata; Mammalia; Carnivora; Felidae. The record is from the annotation of a RefSeq genome assembly.